Molecule: ribosomal RNA, 465 nt
Filed under: uncultured bacterium
Lineage: Bacteria
Description: partial 16S ribosomal RNA
Rfam family: Bacterial small subunit ribosomal RNA
Source: RNAcentral
GACGAACGCUGGCGGCGUGCUUAACACAUGCAAGUCGAACGGAAAGGCCCCUUUGGGGGUACUCGAGUGGCGAACGGGUGAGUAACACGUGAGUAACCUGCCCUUGACUUCGGGAUAACUUCAGGAAACUGGGGCUAAUACCGGAUAGGAAUCCUUGCUGCAUGGUGGGGGUUGGAAAGCUUCGGCGGUUUUGGAUGGACUCGCGGCUUAUCAGCUUGUUGGUGGGGUAGUGGCUUACCAAGGCUUUGACGGGUAGCCGGCCUGAGAGGGCGACCGGCCACAUUGGGACUGAGAUACGGCCCAGACUCCUACGGGAGGCAGCAGUGGGGAAUAUUGCACAAUGGGCGGAAGCCUGAUGCAGCAACGCCGCGGGCGGGAUGACGGCCUUCGGGUUGUAAACCGCUUUCAGCAGGGGCGAAGCUUGUGGUGACGGUACCUGCAGAAGAAUCACCGGCUAACUACGUG